CGAGCACGCGCGUGUGGCAUAUCAAUAAGCGGAGGAAAAGAAACUAACAAGGAUUCCCUAGUAACGGCGAGUGGAGCGGGAAGAGCUCAAAUUUGAAAUCUUAAAGGUUCUACCUUGACGAAUUGUAGUUUAUAGAAGUGUUUUCUGUUGGAGUUUCGGUAAAAGUUCUUUGGAAUAGGACAUCAUAGAGGGUGAGAAUCCCGUAUUUGACCAUUACUUUCCAGCUGUGUGAUACACUUUCAAAGAGUCGGAUUGUUUGGGAAUGCAGUCCAAAAUGGGUGGUAAAUUUCAUCUAAAGCUAAAUAUUGGCGAGAGACCGAUAGCGAACAAGUACCGUGAGGGAAAGAUGAAAAGAACUUUGAAAAGAGAGUUAAACAGUACGUGAAAUUGUCAAAAGGGAAGCGUUUGACACCAGUGUUGUUUUUCGAAAAUCAAUUAAAUAUUUUUCGAUUUUAAGUAGUAUUGACCUUAUCAGCUUGCUGCUUUUUUCUCGGAAAUUAUUUAAUGCACUUUUCAGUUAACAAGUCAACAUCAAUUUCUUUUGUUGUAAAAAGGUAAGAGGAAGGUGGCUUGCGCUUCGGCUCAAGUGUUUAUAGCCUUUUACCCCUGCAAUCGGAGAGAUUGAGGUCUGCAGCGUAGAUCCUUCGGGGUUAGAUACAUUUGUGCUAAGCUAUAGCCUUGUAUAGACAACUUGUUGACUAUGCUCAGUCAUGUAGCUUACUCGCUUAUGCUAUUUUACCUACGCUUAGGAUGUUGAGUAGCGACAUACGCAC
RNAcentral lists this ribosomal RNA (773 nucleotides) under uncultured Neocallimastigales. RNAcentral describes it as "partial large subunit ribosomal RNA". It matches the Rfam family "Eukaryotic large subunit ribosomal RNA", at positions 19 to 649 of the family's 3401-position model. Lineage: Eukaryota; Fungi; Neocallimastigomycota; Neocallimastigomycetes; Neocallimastigales. The record is from RNAcentral.